UACGUAGGGUGCGAGCGUUAAUCGGAAUUACUGGGUGUAAAGCGUGCGCAGGCGGUUUUGUAAGCCAGAUGUGAAAUCCCCGGGCUUAACCUGGGAAUGGCAUUUGGGACUGCAAGGCUUGAGUGUGGCAGAGGAGACUGGAAUUCCUGGUGUAGCAGUGAAAUGCGUAGAUAUCAGGAGGAACACCGAUGGCGAAGGCAGGUCUCUGGGCUAACACUGACGCUCAUGCACGAAAGCGUGGGGAGCAAACAGG
Molecule: ribosomal RNA, 253 nt
Filed under: uncultured bacterium
Lineage: Bacteria
Description: partial 16S ribosomal RNA
Rfam family: Bacterial small subunit ribosomal RNA
Source: RNAcentral